CAGUCGCCGCGGUAAUACAGAGGUCCCAAGCGUUGUUCGGAUUCACUGGGCGUAAAGGGUGCGUAGGAGGCUGGGAAAGUCGGAUGUGAAAUCUCACCGCUUAACGGUGAAACUGCAUUCGAUACUACUCGGCUAGAGGAUCGGAGGGGAGAGCAGAAUUCUUGGUGUAGCGGUGAGAUGCGUAGAUAUCAAGAGGAAUACCAACAGCGUAGGCAGCUCUCUGGAAGAUUCCUGACUCUGAGGCACGAAGGCCAGGGGGCAAACGGGAUUAGAUACCCCUGUAGUCCCUGUCUAUUAUACA
This 301-nucleotide ribosomal RNA is filed under the name uncultured bacterium. RNAcentral's name for it is "partial 16S ribosomal RNA". It matches the Rfam family "Bacterial small subunit ribosomal RNA", at positions 509 to 809 of the family's 1533-position model. The record is from RNAcentral.